UGUGAACUCUUCAUCAGUGAUAAAUCCUCAGUCCUGUAUCAUGUUCAUGAAGGUGUUGAGGUGUCAGAGUCUCAGAAUGCAAAGUUUUCAGGACGAGUCCAGAGUGACAAAGACGCCCUCAGAGAAGGACGAAUCAGACAUCAGCUGUCCAGACUCAGGACUGAUGACUCGGGUCUGUACCUGUGUGAGGUGAACACUGAUUAUGGCUUCAGUGUUGGAAGAUGUCGACUCAACGUCACUGCAGCUGCUGCUGAGACCAAACAUCAAACUCCAACUAUGAACCCACAGACAGAGAGUCGAGGAAGCAUCUGUUGUGGGUUUUUGGGUGGCAUGUACACCUAUGAACCUAUAUAUCUAUCUGCACUGAAGAUAUAUACUGUAACCUUCAUGUAGACUCUUAAGCACAAGCCGUUUUGCCUUCACCAGGGUUUAUUAAGGUGGUACAGUAACAGGGCAGUGUUACAGAGAGAGUUCUCCUGAAUAACUCCCGCCAAUACACACUCAACAUCUUUCACGCACAGCCAAAACUUGUCUAUU
Molecule: long non-coding RNA, 537 nt
Organism: Oreochromis niloticus (Nile tilapia)
Lineage: Eukaryota; Metazoa; Chordata; Actinopteri; Cichliformes; Cichlidae
Exons: 2
Source: RefSeq, a predicted model, not a curated record